Non-coding RNA from Trichobilharzia regenti, 45 nucleotides. NCBI's taxonomy places the organism in Eukaryota, Metazoa, Platyhelminthes, Trematoda, Strigeidida, Schistosomatidae. The record is from Rfam.
AUCCAGAUGAUGAGUCCCAAAAAGGACGAAGUGCGCAUACUGGAU